Molecule: ribosomal RNA, 472 nt
Filed under: uncultured bacterium
Lineage: Bacteria
Description: bacterial SSU rRNA
Rfam family: Bacterial small subunit ribosomal RNA
Source: RNAcentral
GAAUUCACUAGUGAUUGGCACAAGCGGUGGAGCAUGUGGAUUAAUUCGAUGCAACGCGAAGAACCUUACCUGGGUUUGACAUGCACAGGAUCCCGGCAGAGAUGUCGGUUCCCUUGUGGCCUGUGUGCAGGUGGUGCAUGGCUGUCGUCAGCUCGUGUCGUGAGAUGUUGGGUUAAGUCCCGCAACGAGCGCAACCCUUAUCCUAUGUUGCCAGCGCGUAAUGGCGGGGACUCGUGGGAGACUGCCGGGGUCAACUCGGAGGAAGGUGGGGAUGACGUCAAGUCAUCAUGCCCUUAUGUCCAGGGCUUCACACAUGCUACAAUGGCUGGUACAGUGGGUUGCGAUACCGUGAGGUGGAGCGAAUCCCUGAAAGCUGGUCUCAGUUCGGAUCGCAGUCUGCAAUUCGACUGCGUGAAGUCGGAGUCGCUAGUAAUCGCAGAUCAGCAACGCUGCGGUGAAUACGUUCCCGGGC